Mauremys reevesii (Reeves's turtle) is the source of this 455-nucleotide long non-coding RNA. RefSeq lists it as uncharacterized. The transcript is spliced from 3 exons. The record is from RefSeq and is a predicted model, not a curated record. Lineage: Eukaryota; Metazoa; Chordata; Testudines; Geoemydidae.
GGGCUUGCAGGGGGUGAACACCUCAUCACAGAUGUAUUAACAGGAGGAUGCAAGACACAGGGGGUCCCUGCUGUGUUCAACCUCUGUAGCAAAGCCUGCCAGUUAUAACCAAGGAUGUAGUAGUUUGUGACAUGCACAAAUGGAGAUCAGCAGAAGCUCCCAUGCUUCUCUUCACUUGACUCCUAAACCAACACCUGAAUCCAGGUCUCCAAAGACAGCGAGUGUUCAUCUAGCAUAAACAGUAAAUAUUUCAUCUCAAAAGUGACCUUGGAGACAUGCAGCUGAAAUGAAAACAAUGUUUAAUUGCAGUGGGAUUGAGUCACGCUUUAACGGAGCUGACACUGAGAGGAAGGUUUUGCAGUGUUUCCUUAAACUGGAUUUCCUCUGGAUUUGUCUGAUCUCCUCUUGGAGUUUGUUCCAUUGACUGAAAAAAAAAUGCUUUGUUCUAGCUCUUA